UACACCAUUAAUAAGCUGGUGAAAGAAACCUGAUUAUAUUUUGUUUUUAACUUAAACUAGAGUAUGCAUUUUUCAAUCUUGUUAACCUCUCAUUUAUUGUCUUUUUCUAUAUGACACCUAGUUAUUUCGAUCUAAGCAUAAACUAUUAUAAGUAACAGAUAAGUUACACUUUUUUCGUCAGAUUGCCAUUUAAUAUUUGUGAUACAAAUUUGCAUGAUAUAAUUAACGAAUUUUUAAGUAACCUGGUUAUAUAAAUAAUUUUUAAUGUGUUCAUGCAUGAAAUUUAAAGUACACAUCGAAACACUACAAAAAAUGGGUCUAAUUGUGAGGUUUAUUUGUGGGAGUUAUUUUAACCUCUACAAAUUAUAUUAAAUACGGAGGUUAAAUUAAUCGUCGCUAAAAAUUUUAAAUUUGUGGAGGUUUUAACCCCCGCUAUCCACUUAAAAUAGACCAUAGCUAAAAAAUUUAGAUUUGCGGAGGUUUUAACCCCUGCUAUCCUUUUAAAAAUAUACCGCGAACCAAAUUUCAUUUCUCCCUAUUUUUUUAACUGGCCAAAUAUUUUUUCCCCAUUCUCUUACCCAAAAACCCUACAAUGGUUUAACAUAUGCUCGAUUGUUCAGACUCAAAUCUCGAUUUCUGCCCAAAUCUUAAAUUUGGGCAUAAGUCUGCUGAUUACAGAUUAUCGAGACCCAUAUUAAGUCAAAUUUCUACUGAUAUCUACUCAAAAUCAAUUUUGUGCUGAUUUUUCCAAAUUUCUCUCCUACUCCUCCAAAAUUCACAGCCUCCAAAUUGCAAUCCUCCGCCGUCUUUCACUCAUUUUCUAGUUCUCACCGAAAAAUCUUCAAAGUGGCUAUUGUGAUACCCAAUCUUGAUGAGCUCCUAUUAGACACACCAACACAUGUAUGGCGGAAUCUAUCUUGACUCAGACAUCAUAGUGUUGAAUUCAUUGUCUUCACUUAAUAAUACUGUUGCUUUUGAGGAUGACUUACAUCGGAAAAAAUUGAACGGUGUUGUAAUGGAUUUUAGAAAGUACAGGUACACGCAACUCAAUCUGUGCGUUUUGUAUCAUUUUUAAGUGAAUUGUUCUAGUUCUGGUGUACUUGGACCUUGCAAUACCCACCUUUUCUCUGGUAAUUUUGGGAGUAUCUCUAUAUCUAAAAUUGAGCUUAUUUAGGAGGAAAUAGGGAUCAUGAUGAUAAAGUAAAUAAGGGAAGGACACUUUUUGUGGAUAAAACUACAGAUUCUUUUAGUAAUAUAAAGUUUGAUGCAACUUUUGUAGAUUGGUCGAGGUUCAUGCAAGCUAACCAAGAUGCCCCUAUUUUUAGAAAAAUGAUAAGGUUGCCCGUUGCAUCCUAAAAUGCUACUUGAAGAUUCAAUUUAGAACAAUAAACUCGAAUUGUACUACCUGUUAAUCUACCAAAAAUGUUUGCUAACGUUUAUAAGUAGCCUCUUCUGUAUAAAAGUAUUCACCAUCUUGUAUGUAUUUGCAGUCCUUUUAUAUUAGAGUGUUUGAAGGAGUUUUACGCAUCUUAUGAUGACUCACAAUUGAGAUGGAAUGGAGCUGAUCUUUUGACAAGAGUUGCUAGUAACUUUUCUAUCAAUGAUAAUCUAUACGGUAGAAAGAUGGAGAUCAUUUUUCAACCCUCUUUCAUUUUCUUCCCUAUCCUAUUUUUAGGCGAAUGAUUUGUAAGAUGUUUAACAAAAUUUUGCUGAACCUUUUGUUUCUACUGUUGAAUAGCUACCAGAAGUAAAUUAUACAAAACAAAGUUUUCACAUAAUAUUCUCCUAGGAAAUGACUGUUCCAAUAUACUUCUCAUUGACUUGGAUAUAUUUCUCUUUCUUUGUAUGCAGAGAAUGACCAGAGUAUCUUUGAUGCCGUUCUUUGAGGUCAUCUUGAUUUUUUUUCUAAUCCUUGGCCUUCAGUAUCGAGUAGUGCUAAAGAUCUUGUUAAGAAAAUGCAAUGGUCUGAUCCUAGAGAAAGGAUUUUUGUAGUUGAAGUCCUAAAUAAGAUUCAGCUUAAUCAAGAUCUUGUCAUGUUCACAACAGAAUGUUUUUCUUAUAUUGCCUCUAUUUGGUGUGUUCUUUUUCAUAUAUAAUUAAGAGUAUUAUUUUUAUUUGUACAGCAUCCAGAAUUCCUUUAGCUAAGUAAUUAGUCUAGAUAAAGUCCAAAGAUUAUCCCAAUCAGCUAUAGUAGCUAUAGUUCGUAACCCAAAGAUAGUACACAUUUAUAUCUCAAACAUGGACUUUCUCUGUGGUGUUCCACCAUUUUAUGGAGCUAACUUCAUUUGAUAUCUCUAGAAUUUUAGCAUUAGAAUUGCAUAAAGCUUCUUCUUCAUUAUUUAUUUUCUUUUUCAUUUCAGCACAGAUAGCACUAUGGUGGAUUCUUGCAUGUGCCAUGACAUCUUUUUUGUUGCCCUAUGUUAAAUAUGAAGAAGAAAUUGAAAGUUUAUCGUGCUAAAGCAUAAACUUGUUAUUUAUAAUAAAGACUGAAAAUUUAUCGAUUGAUUUUUAUAGUUUGCAUUUUUAUGUAGCCAAGUGAUGGGGCUGGUGGACCCAUUUCACCCAUAGAUGCAAGGAGAUCACGUGGUGAUAAUGAUCCUCAUGAUAUUCUUUGAUUUCAUUGCAUUUGUCUUGGAUAUUCAAUUAUAAUGAUGUAAUUGUGUGAUUGGAAUGAAUCUUAGAAUAUUGAAGGUUUUGUGUUUAAAUUUGAUUUUGUAGUUUGAAGAUACUAGUUAAUGUUGAAAAUUUGGAGUUUGAAGAUGUUAAUGUUGAAAAUUUAAUUUUGAAGU
Capsicum annuum is the source of this 2789-nucleotide RNA transcript. RefSeq lists it as uncharacterized. The record is from RefSeq and is a predicted model, not a curated record. The transcript is spliced from 3 exons. Lineage: Eukaryota; Viridiplantae; Streptophyta; Magnoliopsida; Solanales; Solanaceae.